Molecule: unclassified non-coding RNA, 747 nt
Filed under: Hevea brasiliensis (rubber tree)
Lineage: Eukaryota; Viridiplantae; Streptophyta; Magnoliopsida; Malpighiales; Euphorbiaceae
Source: RNAcentral
CAAGUAAGGAGCAAUAUUUGGUGGAACGGCAUUAUGAGCAUAUCGGGUAAAAUCGUCAACUAGAUUAAUAGUAACAUUAGGUUUCCAAUAGGAAACCCACUCCACAGGAUCGUCAUCUUUCAGAUCACCUUGGUUAUCAUCAACAACCUCUUUCAGAAUUUCACCAGUAUCAGAACCUUCAGAAUUACCCAAUAAACUCCUCCUUUUAUCUGCUUUUGACUUGGGCAAAUACAUCACAAUAGAAUGUGUCCUUCCAAAUGUAGCCAGAGGCUGAAACUCUGGGUCAUUGGGGUCUGGAGUGUAUCCUGACCGUGCAAAGAAGACAUGUGCAUACAAAGAUCCAUUUUGUUUCAAAGCCUCAGAUGGAUAGUACUUGAGUGAAAGAGACCUUGUACUGUCAUGCCCCCAUACAGCAUAAGGUAUACUAUUCUCAUGCCAGACAAGCGCGCCUUCAUUUCCAAAGUCAUCAAACCUUUCAUGCUCAGAAAGAUACACCCACAUAUCCAGCGGUUCACCCUUCUGAAAGAGAUUGGACAUGAGAAUAGCAGGAUCAGAGGGCUUCUUGGGGGCGAAGAAUUUUGAAGCGAAGUACCAGAAGACGGCGAUCCUAAUGAUUCCAGUAAGAGACUGUGCGAAGCCUCCUUGUUGUUGUUGCUGUUGCCCUGCUCUAGGAGCUAUCGCUACUCCUCCGCCACCGCCGGGACCUACCUCUACCGCCGGCGUCGCCAUUUUCUUCUUCCCUCUGUG